UACGAAGGGUGCAAGCGUUGUUCGCAUUUAUUGGGCGUAAAGGGCGCGUAGGCGGGUCAUUAAGUCAGGUGUGAAAUCUCGGGGCUCAACCCCGAAAUUGCGCCUGAAACUGAUAAUCUAGAAUGUCAAAAGGAGAAAGGGAAUUUCGCAUGUAGGAGUAAAAUCCGUAGAGAUGCGAAGGAACACCAGAGGCGAAGGCGACACGCUGGGCCUGGCCUGACGCUGAGAGGCGAAAGCAUGGGGAGCGAACGGG
RNAcentral lists this ribosomal RNA (253 nucleotides) under uncultured bacterium. RNAcentral describes it as "partial 16S ribosomal RNA". It matches the Rfam family "Bacterial small subunit ribosomal RNA", at positions 524 to 776 of the family's 1533-position model. The record is from RNAcentral.